Molecule: ribosomal RNA, 468 nt
Filed under: uncultured bacterium
Lineage: Bacteria
Description: partial 16S ribosomal RNA
Rfam family: Bacterial small subunit ribosomal RNA
Source: RNAcentral
GACGAACGCUGGCGGCGUGCUUAAUACAUGCAAGUCGAACGGAAAGGCCCUGCUCUUGUGGGGUGCUCGAGUGGCGAACGGGUGUGUAACACGCGAGUAACCUGUCCCUGUCUUUGGGAUAACUUCAGGAAACUGGGGCUAUUACCGGAUAGGAGCUCCUGCUGCAUGGUGGGCGUUGGAAAGUUUCGGCGGUUGGGGAUGGUCUGGCAGCUUAUCAGCUUCUUGGUGGGGUAGUGGCUUACCAAGGCUUUGACGGGUAGCCGGCCUGAGAGGGUGACCGGCCACAUGGGGACUGAGGGAGGGAGCAGACUCCUACGGGAGGCAGCAGGGGAGAAUAUUACGCAAUGGGCGGAAGCCUGAUACAGCGACGCCGCGUGCGGGAUGACGGCCUUCGGGUUGUAAACCGCUUUCGCCUGUGACGAAGCGUGAGUGACGGUAAUGGGUAAGGAAGCACCGGCUAACUACGUG